Molecule: ribosomal RNA, 294 nt
Filed under: Bacillus mycoides
Lineage: Bacteria; Bacillati; Bacillota; Bacilli; Caryophanales; Bacillaceae
Description: partial 23S ribosomal RNA
Source: RNAcentral
CUUAGGACCGUUAUAGUUACGGCCGCCGUUUACUGGGGCUUCAGUUCAGAGCUUCGCUUACGCUAACCCCUCUCCUUAACCUUCCAGCACCGGGCAGGUGUCAGCCCCUAUACUUCGCCUUACGGCUUCGCAGAGACCUGUGUUUUUGCUAAACAGUCGCUUGGGCCUAUUCACUGCGGUUUUCCGUUAAGAAAGCACCCCUUCUCCCGAAGUUACGGGGUCAUUUUGCCGAGUUCCUAAACCAGAGUUCUCUCGCACACCUUAGGAUUCUCUCCUCGCCUACCUGUGUCGGUU